GACGAACGCUGGCGGCGUGCUUAACACAUGCAAGUCGAACGGAGAUUCAGCAAUGGAUCUUAGUGGCGAACGGGUGAGUAACGCGUAGGCAAUCUGCCUUCUAGAUGGGGACAACAUCCCGAAAGGGGUGCUAAUACCGAAUGUUGUAGCGGCUUCGCAUGAAGUUGCUACUAAAGGUGGCCUCUGAAUAUGCUACCGCUAGAAGAUGAGCCUGCGUCUGAUUAGCUAGUUGGAGGGGUAACGGCCCACCAAGGCUUCGAUCAGUAGCCGGUCUGAGAGGAUGAACGGCCACACUGGGACUGAGACACGGCCCAGACUCCUACGGGAGGCAGCAGUGGGGAAUCUUCCGCAAUGGACGAAAGUCUGACGGAGCAACGCCGCGUGAGUGUAGAAGGUUUUCGGAUCGUAAAGCUCUUUCGUCAGGGACGAACGUAUUUCUUGUAAAUAAUGAGAGAUAGUGACGGUACCUGAAUAAGAAGCCACGGCUAACUACGUGCCAGCAGCCGCAGUAA
This 512-nucleotide ribosomal RNA is filed under the name uncultured bacterium. Its description in RNAcentral is "partial 16S ribosomal RNA". It matches the Rfam family "Bacterial small subunit ribosomal RNA", at positions 28 to 523 of the family's 1533-position model. The record is from RNAcentral.